RNAcentral lists this transfer RNA (55 nucleotides) under Neoseiulus californicus. Its description in RNAcentral is "tRNA-Ser". Lineage: Eukaryota; Metazoa; Arthropoda; Arachnida; Mesostigmata; Phytoseiidae. The record is from RNAcentral.
AAGAUUAUAUAUAAGAACUUCUAAUUCUAAAAUAAUGAUAAUUCAUUUAAUCUUU